UGCUCAGGACGAACGCUGGCGGCGUGCCUAAUACAUGCAAGUCGAGCGAGCUGAAUUCAAAGAUCCCUUCGGGGUGAUUUGUUGGACGCUAGCGGCGGAUGGGUGAGUAACACGUGGGCAAUCUGCCCUAAAGACUGGGAUACCACUUGGAAACAGGUGCUAAUACCGGAUAACAACAUGAAUCGCAUGAUUCAAGUUUGAAAGGCGGCGCAAGCUGUCACUUUAGGAUGAGCCCGCGGCGCAUUAGCUAGUUGGUGGGGUAAAGGCCUACCAAGGCAAUGAUGCGUAGCCGAGUUGAGAGACUGAUCGGCCACAUUGGGACUGAGACACGGCCCAAACUCCUACGGGAGGCAGCAGUAGGGAAUCUUCCACAAUGGACGCAAGUCUGAUGGAGCAACGCCGCGUGAGUGAAGAAGGUCUUCGGAUCGUAAAGCUCUGUUGUUGGUGAAGAAGGAUAGAGGCAGUAACUGGUCUUUAUUUGACGGUAAUCAACCAGAAAGUCACGGCUAACUACGUGCCAGCAGCCGCGGUAAUACGUAGGUGGCAAGCGUUGUCCGGAUUUAUUGGGCGUAAAGCGAGCGCAGGCGGAAUGAUAAGUCUGAUGUGAAAGCCCACGGCUCAACCGUGGAACUGCAUCGGAAACUGUCAUUCUUGAGUGCAGAAGAGGAGAGUGGAACUCCAUGUGUAGCGGUGGAAUGCGUAGAUAUAUGGAAGAACACCAGUGGCGAAGGCGGCUCUCUGGUCUGCAACUGACGC
RNAcentral lists this ribosomal RNA (756 nucleotides) under Lactobacillus sp. MR4. RNAcentral's name for it is "bacterial SSU rRNA". It matches the Rfam family "Bacterial small subunit ribosomal RNA", at positions 21 to 746 of the family's 1533-position model. The record is from RNAcentral. Lineage: Bacteria; Bacillati; Bacillota; Bacilli; Lactobacillales; Lactobacillaceae.